GAUGAACGCUGGCGGCGUGCCUAAUACAUGCAAGUCGAGCGAACAGACGAGGAGCUUGCUCCUCUGACGUUAGCGGCGGACGGGUGAGUAACACGUGGAUAACCUACCUAUAAGACUGGGAUAACUUCGGGAAACCGGAGCUAAUACCGGAUAAUAUAUUGAACCGCAUGGUUCAAUAGUGAAAGACGGUUUUGCUGUCACUUAUAGAUGGAUCCGCGCCGCAUUAGCUAGUUGGUAAGGUAACGGCUUACCAAGGCGACGAUGCGUGGCCGACCUGAGAGGGUGAUAGGCCACACUGGAACUGAGACACGGUCCAGACUCCUACGGGAGGCAGCAGUAGGGAAUCUUACGCAAUGGGCGAAAGCCUGACGGAGCAACGCCGCGUGAGUGAUGAAGGUCUUCGGAUCGUAAAACUCUGUUAUUAGGGAAGAACAAAUGUGUAAGUAACUAUGCACGUCUUGACGGUACCUAAUCAGAAAGCCACGGCUAACUACGUG
RNAcentral lists this ribosomal RNA (497 nucleotides) under uncultured bacterium. RNAcentral's name for it is "partial 16S ribosomal RNA". It matches the Rfam family "Bacterial small subunit ribosomal RNA", at positions 28 to 507 of the family's 1533-position model. The record is from RNAcentral.